AUUGAACGCUGGCGGCAUGCCUUACACAUGCAAGUCGAACGGCAGCACGGGAGCAAUCCUGGUGGCGAGUGGCGAACGGGUGAGUAAUAUAUCGGAACGUGCCCAGUCGUGGGGAUAACGUAGCGAAAGCUACGCUAAUACCGCAUACGAUCUAUGGAUGAAAGCGGGGGAUCGCAAGACCUCGCGCGAUUGGAGCGGCCGAUAUCAGAUUAGGUAGUUGGUGAGGUAAAGGCUCACCAAGCCGACGAUCUGUAGCUGGUCUGAGAGGACGACCAGCCACACUGGGACUGAGACACGGCCCAGACUCCUACGGGAGGCAGCAGUGGGGAAUUUUGGACAAUGGGCGCAAGCCUGAUCCAGCAAUGCCGCGUGCAGGAUGAAGGCCUUCGGUUGGU
Molecule: ribosomal RNA, 395 nt
Filed under: uncultured bacterium
Lineage: Bacteria
Description: bacterial SSU rRNA
Rfam family: Bacterial small subunit ribosomal RNA
Source: RNAcentral